CCCUUAGAUGUUCUGGGCUGCACGCGCGCUACACUGAAGCUAUCAGCACGUUUUCCCUCCCUGAGAAGGGCGGGUAACCUUUUGAAUCAGCUUCGUGGUAGGGAUCGGGGCUUGCAAUUGUUCCCCGUGAACCAGGAAUUCCUAGUAGACGCGAGUCAUAAGCUCGCAUCGAUUAAGUCCCUGCCCUUUGUACACACCGCCCGUCGCUACUACCGAUUGAACGUUUUAGUGAGGCAUUUGGACCGACGCAUCUCAGUUUAACCGCUGGUUUGUGUUGGAAAGACUUCCAAACUUGAGCGUUUAGAGGAAGUAAAAGUCGUAACA
RNAcentral lists this ribosomal RNA (324 nucleotides) under uncultured eukaryote. RNAcentral describes it as "partial 18S ribosomal RNA". It matches the Rfam family "Eukaryotic small subunit ribosomal RNA", at positions 1470 to 1796 of the family's 1831-position model. The record is from RNAcentral.